This 292-nucleotide ribosomal RNA is filed under the name uncultured bacterium. RNAcentral describes it as "partial 16S ribosomal RNA". It matches the Rfam family "Archaeal small subunit ribosomal RNA", at positions 455 to 746 of the family's 1478-position model. The record is from RNAcentral.
GUGCCAGCCGCCGUGGUAAUACCGGCAGCCCAAGUGAUGGCCGAUCUUAUUGGGCCUAAAGCGUCCGUAGCUGGCCGAGCAAGUCUGUCGGGAAAUCCAGUGGCCCAACCACUGGGCUGUCGGCGGAAACUGUUCGGCUUGGGACCGGAAGACUCGAGGGGUACGUCCGGGGUAGGAGUGAAAUCCCGUAAUCCUGGACGGACCACCAAUGGCGAAAGCACCUCGAGAGCACGGAUCCGACAGUGAGGGACGAAAGCUAGGGUCUCGAACCGGAUUAGAAACCCGAGUAGUC